ACUCCUACGGGAGGCAGCAGUGGGGAAUAUUGCACAAUGGGCGCAAGCCUGAUGCAGCCAUGCCGCGUGUAUGAAGAAGGCCUUCGGGUUGUAAAGUACUUUCAGCAGUGAGGAAGGCGGGUGACGUUAAUACGUGCUCUUUUGACGUAGCNGCAGAAAGAAGCACCGGGCUAACUCCGUGCCAGCAGCCGCGGUAAUACGGAGGGUGCGAGCGUUAAUCGGAAUUACUGGGCGUAAAGCGCAUGCAGGUGGUUUGUUAAGUCAGAUGUG
This 270-nucleotide ribosomal RNA is filed under the name uncultured bacterium. RNAcentral describes it as "partial 16S ribosomal RNA". It matches the Rfam family "Bacterial small subunit ribosomal RNA", at positions 335 to 596 of the family's 1533-position model. The record is from RNAcentral.